GACGAACGCUGGCGGCGUGCCUAAUACAUGCAAGUCGAACGCAGUGGGGACGGGUGAGUAACACGUGGGUAACCUCCCAUCAGAGGGGAUAACACUUGGAAACAGGUGCUAAACUGAUAUUGAAGGAUGGACACGCGGUGCAUUAGCUAGUUGGUGAGGAAACGGCUCACCAAGGCCACGAUGCAUAGCCGACCUGAGGGGGUGAUCGGCCACACUGGAACUGAGACACGGCCCAGACUCCUACGUGAGGCAGCAGUGGGGAAUCUUCGGCAAUGGACGAAAGUCUGACCGAGCAACGCCGCGUGAGUGAAGAAGGUUUUCGGAUCGUAAAACUCUGUUGUUAGAGAAGCGGUAUCUAACCAGAAAGCCACGGCUAACUACGUGCCAGCAGCCGCGGUAUAC
This 402-nucleotide ribosomal RNA is filed under the name uncultured bacterium. RNAcentral's name for it is "partial 16S ribosomal RNA". It matches the Rfam family "Bacterial small subunit ribosomal RNA", at positions 28 to 526 of the family's 1533-position model. The record is from RNAcentral.